This is a non-coding RNA of Oryza glumipatula, 189 nucleotides long. Lineage: Eukaryota; Viridiplantae; Streptophyta; Magnoliopsida; Poales; Poaceae. The record is from Rfam.
AAUAAGCGCAACCAUGAGUUUCCGUGUCCAAUUUUGAUCAUCCGUCUUAUUUGAAAUUUUUUGAUGAUUAGUAUUUUUAUUGUUAUUAGAUUAUAAAACAUGAAUACAUAUGUUUUUUUAUUUUUUCAAAAAAAAUUAAAUAAGACGAACGACUAAAGUUGGAUACGAAAACUCAUGGCUGCGUUUAUU